Molecule: long non-coding RNA, 575 nt
Filed under: Coturnix japonica (Japanese quail)
Lineage: Eukaryota; Metazoa; Chordata; Aves; Galliformes; Phasianidae
Description: lncRNA (ENSCJPG00005003167.1)
Source: RNAcentral
UCAGUGGGAAGUAGAAGAUUUGAUAAAAAAUGUGAGCCCAAGGAUUUUAAUCUAUGGACAUGUGAUCUAAAAAUCCUUAAGAAAUGAGCCGCUUUCAGGAGACAUAAUCAAUGAAAUCAGGUACUGUAAAAGAAGUCUGUAGAACACAACCCAGAAAGAAGUACGAUUUCAGAGUUGUACAGCAAUGAAGAUCUUGUCUCCAAAGCUACAGGAACUGGCUAAUGUUUGGCCCUACAUCAGUCUCAUCCACCUGCAAUCACUCCUGAAAGGUAGGAAUCCUCUAUAGAUCCCUGCUCUUGGGAAUCUAAUGCCCUCAAAUGAACAACUCAGCAGCCGACAAGCAAGCUGAUAAAGCAUUCCUCGCAGAUACUUAAUGGGUACAUUCUGUAUCUCCGUCUGUAUCUUUCUGUCUGCCUAUCUUUUUUCCCCCCCCCUUAGCAUGCUUGGAAGAAGGUAGGCAAACAAACAAACCAAAAAAAGCCUGAAAGAACUACCUCUUCCCUUCGUGUCUGUAGCUGCUUUCCCAGAAGUAAUUUCCAUUUAUGGAAAUCACUCUCUCUAUUUCCCAAUUCCUC